GCGCCUGUGGGCAGCGUUACGAGGCCCCGCCUUGGCGCCAUUUUGGAGUGGCGGCGAGCUGAGCCGGGCCGCGAUCCGUUCCGUUCUGUGUUCUUCCUUCUGUCCUGUCCUUCCUCCGCCAUGAGUGUGGUGGAACACGUACGGGAAAUGGCCUCCGCCGGGCUCCACUCCAACGUGCGGCUCCUCAGCGGGCUUCUCCUAACCAUGAGCGGCAACAACCCGGAGCUGUUUUCACCAUCUCAGAAGUACCAACUCCUCGUGUACCACGCAGACUCUCUUUUCCACGACAAAGAAUAUAGAAAUGCCGUGAGCAAGUAUACGAUGGCUUUGCAGCAGAAGAAAGCAUUGAGUAAAACCUCCAAAGUGAGGCCUUCUACUGGGAACGCUGCAUCAACUCCUCAGAGCCAGUGUUUACCGUCUGAAAUUGAAGUAAAAUAUAAAAUGGCUGAAUGUUACACCAUGCUGAAGCAAGAUAAAGAUGCUAUUGCCAUUCUGGAUGGGAUUCCUUCCAGACAGAGGACCCCAAAGAUCAAUAUGAUGCUGGCAAAUCUAUACAAGAAAGCAGGUCAAGAACGCUCCUCUGUUACAAGCUACAAGGAAGUACUGAGGCAGUGCCCGUUAGCACUUGAUGCCAUACUAGGUUUGCUGUCGCUGUCAGUGAAGGGUGCAGAAGUGGCCUCUAUGACAAUAAAUAUCAUUCAGAGCAUUCCAAACUUGGACUGGCUUUCAGUGUGGAUCAAGGCAUAUGCGUUUGUGCAUACUGGAGAUAACACUAGAGCCAUCAAUACAAUUUGCUCUUUAGAGAAAAAGUCACUGCUGAGGGAUAAUGUAGAUCUACUGGGGAGCUUAGCAGACCUGUAUUUCAGAGCUGGAGAUAAUAAAAACUCUAUUCUAAAAUUUGAACAAGCUCAAAUGCUGGAUCCUUACCUAAUAAAAGGAAUGGAUGUGUAUGGCUAUUUGUUGGCACGGGAAGGUCGACUGGAGGAUGUAGAAAACUUAGGCUGCCGUCUCUUCAAUAUUUCAGAUCAACACGCAGAACCCUGGGUAGUGUCUGGGUGUCAUAGUUUUUAUAGUAAACGAUACUCCCGUGCCUUAUAUUUAGGAGCCAAAGCUAUCCAGCUUAAUAGCAACAGUGUUCAAGCUCUGUUGCUGAAGGGAGCUGCCCUCAGGAAUAUGGGCCGAGUACAGGAAGCAAUCAUACACUUCCGUGAAGCGAUACGUCUUGCACCUUGCAGGUUGGAUUGCUAUGAGGGUCUCAUUGAAUGUUACCUGGCAUCUAACAGUAUCCGGGAAGCUAUGGUUAUGGCAAAUAACGUGUAUAAAACUCUGGGAGCAAAUGCACAGACGCUCACUCUGUUAGCAACAGUCUGCCUUGAAGACCCAGUCACACAGGAGAAAGCAAAAACAUUACUGGACAAAGCACUGACACAAAGACCUGAUUACAUUAAAGCUGUGGUAAAGAAAGCAGAACUUCUUAGUAGAGAGCAGAAGUAUGAAGAUGGAAUUGCUUUGCUGAGGAAUGCACUGGCUAAUCAGAGUGACUGUGUUCUGCAUCGAAUACUGGGAGACUUCCUUGUAGCUGUCAAUGAGUACCAGGAAGCAAUGGACCAGUACAGUAUUGCCCUAAGCUUGGAUCCAAAUGAUCAGAAGUCACUAGAAGGAAUGCAGAAAAUGGAAAAAGAGGAAAGUCCAACAGAUGCAACCCAGGAAGAAGAUGUGGAUGAUAUGGAGGGAAGUGGAGAAGAGGGGGACUUGGAAGGCAGUGACAGUGAGGCAGCCCAGUGGGCAGAUCAAGAGCAGUGGUUUGGCAUGCAGUGAUGGCUGCUCUCCCCAGUGCUUGAUUUGGCACAUGAGAACAUCAGUAGGGCCAUUCCUUUCUGAACUCUGAUCUUUGCAGGAACUGAAGACUCUUUUUUAUCUUUUUUUUUUUUUUUUUUUUUAAUUUAAUAGAACUAUUAAAUGGUUUCAGUCUAUGCAUCUCAGUGCCAUGAAGAUUCUUGAUGCUUCUUAUUUAUUAAGCAUAAGAGAUUAACUGCAGUUAAUCAAACCAAAAGCAUUAGAAUCUAAGGUUUCUGUAAGCCUGCUGUUUAUGAUGAAAGCUGUCGUGUUGAGGGCUAAGUGUGCUUUAUCAAUUUGUAAAUAGUAUUUUGGUAUAUGCCUUUGUAAAAAAGGUCUUCUUCCCUUGUUUGUAAGCAGCGAUUUGGGCUCACACUCCUGAUGAAGUCUGGAGGAGUCACUUGGCUGUGGCUGAAAGCAGCACUUCUUACUCGCUGUGUUGGUUUAAUUACUGUCUUUUUACAAGGCAUUGCAUGUGGUGUAAAGAAGUUUGGCACCCCAGGCAGCUUUGAGCUAGAGGACACUUUUGUAGCUGAUUGAUUUCUAUGUGUACAGAGUCAAACCAGCCCUUAUUAAACCUUAUAAUCUGUCUGUACAUAAACAUUUUUAAAUGCAGUUGAGUUUUACUUCAGUGUGUUACUAAAGGCUUUUACAGCAGUGACUCAAAGCACUUCAUGUUCUGCAUACAGGAGGUAUAAGAAUUCAUCCUAUUCCACUUGCUUCUCUGCAAAAACGUACAAAUAUAUAUCAGCUUGUUUUUGUCAUAUAUAUACUUUUUGUCAGAUAGUAUUUGAAUUCACGUUAUCAUUUCAACACCAUCUCUUUGAGGGUGAUCUUUGUUUCAGUUCUGUGGGCUCAGUGUGUAGGAGGAGGAAUUACUUUGUGCUGUUACAUUUCUUACCAUUCUGUUUUCCUUACUAUUUCCUUAAACAUCUCUUUACAUUGCCAGUUUAAUCUCUUUCACAUUUAUCCUGUACCCGCAGUUAUGCUGGAGCAGAUGGACCUUAAUGCAGGGCUAAAAAGCAGUUCAGCAUAGCAGCUAACAGAGGAAUACCUACUUGUACAAAUACCUGACACAGAGAACAGGCGUCCCCUAGCUGUAGAAGUACAGCACCAAUAAGGGAUACAAUCUGAUGAAAGCUCGAGCCUAUGUCCAACAGAUAGGUAGGGUCAGCAGCUUCCUAGGUGAUGCUUCAACCAUUCCUACUGGAUUGAAGAAUGGACUUCUUAAUAUUAAGAACUAAUAUGUGACGAGAGAAAUGAAUGAGGUCUUACCAGUGCGGGGCUGAGUGUGCACAGAAAGGCAACAUCAGACAAAGGGAACAUCUUGUUCCCUGUUGCUGUACCCAGCCAGCUGCAGCGCUGGCCUUUCUCUGUUGCAUGUGCUAAUACAGAUCUCACGCUGCACAGCCCACACAUUCAUCCCCCAGGUGGAUCCUGGAGGCUGACCGUACUUUGGGAACAGGGCUGGGGAAUUUUCCUUCUCUUGAAGCUGGUGAGUCAGCAAAAUCCGCUGGUGGGAUGAUGUGCAAAUUGCGCUGCCUCCACAAGACCCGAUGAUACGGAUAUAAAUGGAAGCUUCGAGAUGCUCUUGUGACACCGCACGUUUCUCUCCAGCUGCUGCAGGAGGCGGAUGGGGUAACUCACCCACAUGAAUGCAGGUCCCACAGCCUCUGUUUAAACAAGAACAAGGACUUGGCCUUAUUACCAAGCUCUGCCACAGGCUGCUGAGGAGCACGGCCCCUUUUCUGAGGUGAACUUGCAGUGCUCCUUCAGCAGGAGCAGAGCUGACCUGCCUUUUUCACAUCAGCCUCUGGCUGCUGCUCUUAAUGCUGCCCACUUAUCUGUGUGUUUUGAGCAGGGUCCUACAGUGCAGAACCUCCUGUCUCAGCUGCAGUUUAUUGCCAGCAAGCUGUCCGUCAUAGACAGCCAUUAGAUUUGCUCCCUGUUUAUUUUGCAGCUUUGUUUCGGGGGCUAAAUGAGCUGCAGCAGGCACAGGUGAAGGUGCUGAGGAAAGGGAUUGGCCUGUGGUGGGGAAUGUCUAAAGGGCAGAUGUGUGAGGUCAGGGAUGAUACAUGGUGCUCCAAACACUUUUGCUGUAGAGCACUUAAACUGUUGCAGGUGAAUUGUUGUAGUAAAACAUCUUAAAGUCCUGCAGAGUAAAGGGGAGCAGGAGUGGCUGCCUGCUUUGUUCUGCAGGCCUGGCCUGGGGCUUUUCCUGAGGCUUUUUCCUCACUGAAGCUGUGAAGCCAACUUGCUUUCUCCUCUACCAAACGCUUUUCUCAGCUCUCUCCCCCCACUGCGGAGGUGGGUGUGGGUUUAAUCUUACCCAAUUAAAUUCACCUCGGUGUAAAAACGGGGCUAUUUCUGCCCUCUGUGCCAUGUUUGAUGCAAUGUGUCUGUAAUGGCUGAGAGCUGUGGGAGCUGUGGGUGUGGGCCCACCCCACACUGCUGUAGGGCCGGGGUGUCACAGGGAGGUGAGGAGGGGGAAGAUGAAGCUGUUUAUCUCAGCAUCUCUUACCCCAUAGCCUCAUAUGUGAGUACUUAGCAACGCACUGAGCUGCUCCAGGUUCUCUCUGUUGCAGGCAAUACUGCUUGCAGUUUGCUUGGGGGACUGGUUAAGCUUGCAGAUGGGAACUUCAAAAUGAUUAAAAAUAGUAAGUUUGGUCUUUGCAAAACUAAACUUCAGCUGCCUGUAGCUGAAGAAAUGAGCCUCAUUUUUCUCAUGGUCAAGCUAGAGGUGUUAAUGAGGUGCUUUCCUCCAUCAUGGUAGGAGUGAAUUACACUAAUUGUUAAACCUGGGUGUCCAAGUUGCUGCCUUCUGGUGCUGGUGCAGCAAUGCUGGGUUAUUUGGUGACAGCGCUGCGGGCUGAAACCAGCCUAUAAAUAAGGAAGAGCCAUGGCUGCAGAUAAGCACUGGGCGCUGCGCUCAGCUCUGACAGCUUUGGCCCAGAGGUUGAGAGCAGAGCUCAGAGCAACGCUACCAUAGUAGGAAGCAGCCCAGCAGAGUAGUUCAGCCCCAUGUAUCAGCACAGCACCCAGCAUCAUAUAGCGGAGCUGAGCGGUGGAAUUCAGCUUUAAGUAUUUUUAAACCUCGUGCUGUUGUUUUUGAAGGGUCUCAGCCGUCACCUAAUUUGGGUAACACUGUCUGCAGGCACCGUGCUGGUAUCGCAGCCCAGAGUUUAAGAGGCAUUACAUUUAAUUUAAAACACAUUACUCGCUUUUGAAGUUGCUUAUUUAGAGAGGCUCUGCUUGUACCCUCACUCCCCUCCUCUCACUCCAAACAAAACUUCAUUUAUGAGAUUUAGAGCGGAGCAUCAGAGGACACUUGGCAGACGUAGCUUUUAUCCCUUGAGUGCUUUAGUCUCCUUUAGUCUCACUUGAUGCUUAAGGAGGGCUGGAGCCUGCGGCUGCGUGCAGGUCUCAGGGACAGACAGAGCCCCAGUGCAGGCAAGGAGCACACAGCUGGUUCAUCACUGACAAAACCAAGCAGCUACAAAGGCCUGAAAGGGUUUAAAAAACAGAAAAGGACAGAAAAAAAAAUAAUGAAAGUGUAAUUGGGCAAGAAAUGUUUAUUUUAAGUUCACCGGAGGGAUUUACAAACAAUGGAGCAUUAAAAAAACAAAACCUCGAGUGACCAAACUACUUGACAGUGUCCCUUAAACACACACACAAACCCCUGCGCGGAGGAAUCACAGCAGCGAGGAGGUCGUAGUGCUGGAAGAGCAGCCGGCGUCUGCAUAGUUCUAGAAGGAAGGAAAGAGUGCAGUAAUGCAGUGCUGGGUGUGAGCGUGUGCUGCCUGGCAUUAAGGGCAGGACAGGCUGAAGGACACACUCAGGUACCUGCAGGAAACAAAGUGCAUCAAAUGACACGCCAGGGAUGUAUUGUAGAAUAGAUUUAUUUACCUGAUACAAAUGAAACUAGGUGUGAUGCUUCUUACUGUCAGCAUGGAAGUAGAGAACCGAUCUUAUUUACAGCUUCUAGAGGUCAUUACAUGCAGUUGUAACUGGCCAAGCCGUUUGCUGCCGUCUCGAUGGACGCAUGAUGCUGUUUUGUAUCGCACCAACAUCUGUCUCACUGCCUUAGACUUCAAUAAGUUACAUUAUUACAGUGCAAAACAGGUCGAUUUGCACACAUGAUAAUAAAAAAACACAACCCAAAGUGAUGGACUGGAGGCUUUGCAGUUGGACAUUCAGCCGUAGUCUUGUCUGUGGAUUCAUAGCUAGGAUGGCGUUGUACAUGAGCUGUUAGAGCGGCACGUCCGGAUGAUACGAUACAGAUUUGUCUACAACCCAAGGCAUGCAUUAAUUCAAUAUUGUACACUUUAUAAACUGACAUUUUACAUACAGGAAAUAUGGAAAACAGGCUGACAGCUCAGCGCUUCUUAUCCGGGGAUCAACGAGUUCUUCUCCAUGCAGCACAGAACCCAAAACUUCUCUGAGAGUCCCCAACUGGGUCAGCUCUAUUGAACCUCUGUACAUCUCAAGUCCUACCGGCAGCACACGUUUCUUCCACAGAGAACACCAUGAGCUUUGUUUGGAGGGGAAGCAAAGAAUCUUUACACAUGAUACAUGCAGCACUUUGGGGAGAUGUGUUGCUAAAAACACAUGCACGCAACAAAGGGAGGAAAAAAAAAACAAAAAACCAACAACCUCACAUUUCUGCAAAAUUGUUUAGGAAGUGAUUACUCCAGUAUUGCUGAAAAGGAAAGAAAGAAAAGGUAUCAGUUAAUGAAAGGAUGAAUGCAAAGCACCGUUCUAAAAGCAAGACUUAAGAUCAACAGUGACAGAAGAAAGGAUGUUAGGCCUGAUAACCAACUGCUCUGCCAUUGAAGGGACGCUCUCGGGUUACUUUGUUCUGAAUGCUGGGGCACUCCAAGCACCUCUCAGCUCUCCUGCUGAGCUGCCUUCACCAUCAGCGCUCCCUGCCAAAGGCUGCAGAGGAGCAUUUCCCCCCCCCUAAUUGAGACCUUACAUUGCAAAUUUGGCCCAGGACUGACCUAACAAUGCCCCUCUUUCAGGUUUUGCAGCUCUUUCUGUGAAGCAUUAGAAAGCUUUAAGAAGCCUAAACUAUGCAGACUGAUGCUCCCAGCAUUACCCAGCGCACAGCACCAGGCCGGCCUUGUGUCAGGAGGAAGGGAGCAUCUCUGCCUGCCUGCACCUCAAUGGCGGCCCUUCAAAUUUAGGUUCUCCCGCUCAGGUUUGAGAAUGCACGAUAUUAAUGUAAUUAAGGAUGUAAUUAGCAGAGAUUAGGGAAACGGUUAAUGGUUAGAAGUGCAAAAAAGGUAAACAAGACAGGUGCAAAAGACAGACAGCUUCGGAUCAGUUUGACCUCCCUUCAUCUCAGCGAAUUCAACCAUCUUUAAGCAGUGACCAGAUACAUUCUGUGCUCUCAGAGCAGUGACAGGGGCUGCUGUACUGCAUUUUAUCAUCAGAUUCAAAACUCCUUUCCUUACCCUUAGCUUUGCCCACAAGGACCCCUCUACAACCACGAGCUUCACAGCACCGACAGACUGCUGUAUAUUUUUCUGCAGCUUUUUCUUUCAAUACUGAUUCUUUUUUGUUGCUGCAAUAAUGCUUUGGGGGAAAAACCAUGAACUAAUUUCAGUGCCUGGGCAACAAAAAGGCACAGCUGGUUGUGGAGCUCAGGACUGGGACUUGGAAUCACUCACAUGUGAAAGCUGAGAGAGCCCGGGGCACCGGGAAGAUAAAAGCUUUUGUCUCCAUGCUGCCAACACAUGAUGGCAGCUGCCUGACCAUCAUCUCUGCUCUGAGCUGGACCAGCCCACAGAGCACUGAGCUCAGGAGGAGCUGCCAACAGCAAAACCUCACUGCUGCCCCAGCACAGACCUGCAGCCUCGGUGUACAGUGCACCAUCAGUCACAAUGGACGCUCAUCUCAGCCCCCUCCUCAAUAAAAACCAAGCAGGAGCACUAAGGAUGCUACAGAACACAGAAGACUGCAGAGAUGAAGCAGCUCGGUGAGAUGAGAGCAAAGGGAAAACAAAAGGUAGGAAGUUACCUUCUAAAAAUAGAGCAAGAUAAAAGAGAGAUCUUUGUUUCUUCUGCCUACAUAAGAGCUGCUGUUAGCAGGCUCACAGGGCGAACACUGCAACAGGAGCUCCACUCCUGUCCCCACGUGACCCCAGUGCAGGGAGGAGGCCAGAAAUACAGGACAAGGAGAUUAAGCAAAAGCUUCAACUUCAAGAUGCUGCCUACUAAAUCCACGUCAACCUGGCACCCAUCUUAUGGGAGCGACCCUGGGAAAGCAGAAGUACUGACAGCAAAGUGUUAAUGCCACUGAACGGCAUGAAGUGCUGAUCACAGGGAGCCCUACUGCCUCAUUUCAACAAGGAAAUCCUAAGAGAACCACAAAAAGCACAAGAAAAAACAGGUAGAUGAAGACAGCCCAAAGCAUCCAGGAACAGUCCAACAAAACCAGGCUCCUGAUGCUGCAGGUGCCAUCAGAGGAUUAAUGCCACGUUCACCCACCAGCUGUCCAGCUCUCUAAGGUAAAAUCCAAGCAACAGAAGGUGAGAUACCCCGAGUUAAUUGCUAUCAGAGCUCACAGCAAGGUUUGUCUUCAGCACACACAGCUGAGCGUGUCAGACAGAUCCAGCAGAAGGUGCUGAAAGACUAAAUUCAAUGUAUCCCCUCAUUUUCCCCUUCAGCUUCUUAGAGACAGGAAGCAAGGGGUUAGGUAGCAGAAUUACUUGGCAUCACAGACAGGAGAAAGACCGAAGACAAGAAGAACUGAGAAGUACUGCCACGUACACGGCUUGGAAAAGCCAACCAAUGGAGGUGGCUCUGGAGGCUUACACAGAACCUGAGCUCAGGAGUGUGGCCAAAGUGCUGGGAACACACCUGUGGGUGGUUCAUUCCAAUAACGACAACACCUGUGAUUCAAGAUGCCUUCAGACCAAACCAGAUCCAUGAGACCUGGUAGUUUCCUGUUUCAGGAAACAGGCGAGCCUUAACAUUGCUCAUUCAAUAUUGAUACAGCACCUGGCUGCUGCUGGCCAUCGGCCUUAUGGUAUAACACAACACCCAGCCUGGCAGACAGGUUUCUGCCACGCUGAAGAGAUCAUUCAAGGGAGGUCAGUGCUUGCAGCCCUGCACAACACCUGUUCUAUCAGGUCCGUAUCCCCAAAUCACUUCAGCAUCAGUGAAAGGAAGUCAGCAUUCCUACAGACAGUGAGCACUCACAAUGCAGAGGGAUUUCAAAGGGUUCUGUGUAUUUUGGGGUUAGAGUGUGUAUUUGAAGACCGAAACCUACAGGAUUAGCUGUGCUCGCUGGAUUCCAGCUGGCACCAGCAGAACGUUGCUUUUAACAACCAUUUUCCUCUGUGAGGAAUAAGAAAGCUGUUUGAAUUGGAUUAUUAAAGUCAAGCCAACACAAGAUAACACAGCACCUGCUACUCCACCAAAGCACAUUGACCCCUGUACAAUUUUCAAAGCCUUCUCUGUUAAGCCAAGCUUGUUCUUCUGUCUUUCCAAUGACCACAAUUCAAAGCGUUUCCAAGCUCUGGAAACAGACAGUUUUUGCAAAGAGGAGCACCUGCACAUACAGCACUGGGAUUAGCAAUUAGAGGAGAUGGGCCAGGCUGCUCUGAGGGGAUUCCCACAUUUCAGAGCAGGAAAGAGCUUAAGGAUAAGCCAGUGCUUGACCACCAGGGGUUCUGGACACUAAAAACAUCAUAUAAACAGCUGUCACUGCCUUCAGUAAGAGCUUUAUCCAAUUUUAUCUCCACCUCAAGAGCAGAAGCUAAGAUCACAGAGGAACCGAGUGCUACAGAAUAAGAUCUAAAACAGCCAAACAAAAGCAAACUCUUUACCUUCAGAAUCAAUAACUGGAGCUUCGUACCAUAAGGCAAGAGUCUAAAGUGGUGAUAAUAAUGUAGCACAGCAGAAUUUGACAAAACACAGCAUGGGAAUGAGGGAAAUUACUAUUUAUUCUUCAACAUGAAUACAGCAUACGCUAUUUUACAGCAAGUCACCACUGGCAUGGUGAAAUGGAAGAGAAAUACUCACUUUAGUCGAUGAAAGUUGGAAGGCAUUGGAGAAAAACACCACAGUUAGGACUGUUAAUGACUUACACGUUGUUGAUACAGGACUGAAUUUGAAAACAUGCUUUAACAUUUACCGUAAUAAUGAAGGUGGUUAGUGCCACAUCAAAAUAAAAAUAGUUCUAUACAAUAUGUUCAAUUUGGUCAUGUGCUAUUUACACAUUUUACAAACAACACACACGAGCUUGUCACUUCAACUCAGGCUAACAACAGGCCAGCAGAGCAACUCCGUGUAUACACCGUAUCAUUAGUGCCCUAAGUGCGGUCAAUCCCACUUCUAGCUACGCAGUGCAACUUAUUAUUCCAGGUCUUAUUACAAGUUUUGAUCUUAAAAAUGGCGGGGGAGAAACAAUCUGACACGUAAGGUAUUAAAAAAACAAACAAAAAAAAUCAAUGGCAACCCUCUUUUGGAAAUAAAACAGAUUGGGUCGGUUAAAAAGGCUUGGUUUAGGUUUGAGUCGACCUCCCUAACCCUGCAUCAUGGGCAACGCUGGCAAAACAAGGUCUGUUACAAUAAAAAUACAAUAGACAAAUAAAUAAUCUCUUUAAAAAAAAA
This is a non-coding RNA of Coturnix japonica (Japanese quail), 10457 nucleotides long. The record is from RefSeq and is a predicted model, not a curated record. NCBI's taxonomy places the organism in Eukaryota, Metazoa, Chordata, Aves, Galliformes, Phasianidae.